UAGGGAAUCUUCGGCAAUGGACGGAAGUCUGACCGAGCAACGCCGCGUGAGUGAAGAAGGUUUUCGGAUCGUAAAGCUCUGUUGUUAGAGAAGAACGUUGGUAGGAGUGGAAAAUCUACCAAGUGACGGUAACUAACCAGAAAGGGACGGCUAACUACGUGCCAGCAGCCGCGGUAAUACGUAGGUCCCGAGCGUUGUCCGGAUUUAUUGGGCGUAAAGCGAGCGCAGGCGGUUCUUUAAGUCUGAAGUUAAAGGCAGUGGCUUAACCAUUGUACGCUUUGGAAACUGGAGGACUUGAGUGCAGAAGGGGAGAGUGGAAUUCCAUGUGUAGCGGUGAAAUGCGUAGAUAUAUGGAGGAACACCGGUGGCGAAAGCGGCUCUCUGGUCUGUAACUGACGCUGAGGCUCGAAAGCGUGGGGAGCAAACAGGAUUAGAUACCCUGGUAGUCCACGCCGUAAACGAUGAGUGCUAGGUGUUAGGUCCUUUCCGGGGCUUAGUGCCGCAGCUAACGCAUUAAGCACUCCGCCUGGGGAGUACGACCGCAAGGUUG
This 550-nucleotide ribosomal RNA is filed under the name uncultured bacterium. RNAcentral describes it as "bacterial SSU rRNA". It matches the Rfam family "Bacterial small subunit ribosomal RNA", at positions 355 to 896 of the family's 1533-position model. The record is from RNAcentral.